This 228-nucleotide ribosomal RNA is filed under the name uncultured bacterium. RNAcentral's name for it is "partial 16S ribosomal RNA". It matches the Rfam family "Bacterial small subunit ribosomal RNA", at positions 524 to 751 of the family's 1533-position model. The record is from RNAcentral.
UACAGAGACUGCAAGCGUUAUUCGGAUUCACUGGGCGUAAAGGGUGCGCAGGCGGCAAUGUGUGUGAGGCGUGAAAGCCCGGGGCUUAACCUCGGAAUUGCACCUCAAACUACAUUGCUAGAGCAUUGGAGAGGGUAGCAGAAUUCACGGUGUAGCAGUGAAAUGCGUAGAUAUCGUGAGGAAUACCAGAGGCGAAGGCGGCUACCUGGACAAUUGCUGACGCUCAGU